Molecule: unclassified non-coding RNA, 772 nt
Filed under: Hevea brasiliensis (rubber tree)
Lineage: Eukaryota; Viridiplantae; Streptophyta; Magnoliopsida; Malpighiales; Euphorbiaceae
Source: RNAcentral
AAAAAAAAAAAAAAAAAACAAAAUGUUUACCGAAUCAGUUUAACUGACACUGAAACGCAUUCCCUGGAGCGCCCGCAACAAUGGCAAUAUCGACCGUUCAGAGACUCUCCUACCAAUUCAACCGCCUCCAAUCUCUCUCUACUUUCACCAAAUACGUCUUCGUCCGCUCCUCCGCCUCCGCUGCCACCAUCACCAUCUCCUCCUCCUCAGCCAAAGUCGCCGACAGAAUCGUCAAGCUCUUCGCCGUCGACCUUGACGGUAAAAAGCGGGAGAUCGUGGGCCUCUCUGGCCAGACUCUCCUCAAGGCUUUGACCAACAGCGGUCUCAUUGACCCUGCGUCCCACCGCCUAGAGGAGAUCGACGCUUGCUCCGCCGAGUGCGAGGUCAGCAUCGCCCAGGAGUGGCUUAAUAAGCUGCCACCGAGAUCUUAUGAUGAGGAGUAUGUUUUGAAGAGGAAUUCUAGAGCUAGGGUUUUGAACAAGCACGCUAGGUUAGGAUGCCAGGUCGUCCUUGUUCCAGAGCUUCAAGGUAUGGUUGUUGCGGUCCCCGAGCCAAAACCUUGGGAUAUCCCCUGAAAUUCCGGGUUUUGUUUUGGUUUGGCUUUACUUUGCUAUUUGGAAUUGAAUAUUCAAUAAUGUGCACACUUGAAAUGGAUUUAUGUUUCCUGAAAUGUGGGAUGUGUGUAAGAUUGCCCUUCAAUUGAGUACGCUGGAACUUAAUUCCGAUGUUCUGGUUUAAUUAAUUUGAAUUUCUGCAAAAUUAUUGUUUACUA